UCUACCAAAGGAUAAUAGUAUUCCACUGGUCUUAGGCGCCAAAAUCCUUG
Molecule: transfer RNA, 50 nt
Filed under: Natrix natrix (European grass snake)
Lineage: Eukaryota; Metazoa; Chordata; Lepidosauria; Squamata; Natricidae
Description: partial transfer RNA-Leu
Source: RNAcentral